UUCCAUAUCCAGCACCACGAAG
RNAcentral lists this non-coding RNA (22 nucleotides) under Arabidopsis thaliana (thale cress). The record is from RNAcentral. Lineage: Eukaryota; Viridiplantae; Streptophyta; Magnoliopsida; Brassicales; Brassicaceae.